Long non-coding RNA from Echinops telfairi (small Madagascar hedgehog), 574 nucleotides. RefSeq lists it as uncharacterized. NCBI's taxonomy places the organism in Eukaryota, Metazoa, Chordata, Mammalia, Afrosoricida, Tenrecidae. The transcript is spliced from 2 exons. The record is from RefSeq and is a predicted model, not a curated record.
UCCCUUUUCUGUCCGACCUGAACCCUGGACUCUGCCUGGAGGAAUCCGUCCAGGAAGGAAGACCAUGAAGAACAGGCUCAGACACUGUAAGCGAGCUCCCCACCAGCACACAGCACGCAGCGUGGAGAAAGUCGGCACUGGGAGGACCCACCACCGGAUUCCCAUGUACGGAUGAGGAAAGAGACACUCGUGUUCCUGAACACUGGCCUGUGCUAGAAGACCUGCAUCAUGAGAACCCUGACUUUGCCCCCCAAGGACCACCAGGACCCCUGCAGGACCCUUCUUUCUCAAGAGAGGGACACAUGCACAGGCAUGAGGCCUGACUCCCCUCCCCCCACCCCCAAGCUGUGGAAAGACUUCCCAGAUGGGAGGUCAUUCUCUCCUGCCACCUAUUGGCAAAAUACGGUCCUGCAACUCAGCUCUGUUGGACACUAAGAAGGGUGCCCAACAGAAACAAAAGAACAGACUACAAUGUCCAGAGAGCGGGCAUGUGGGUGGAGGUGGAGAGAGAAUGUGCUAGAUUCUGGAAAAGGAAACAAUGGUUACUCCUAGUAAAAAUUAUACAUCCUAAUCA